AUCUCAAAUCAGGUAGGACCCC
Molecule: ribosomal RNA, 22 nt
Filed under: uncultured Thelephoraceae
Lineage: Eukaryota; Fungi; Basidiomycota; Agaricomycetes; Thelephorales; Thelephoraceae
Description: partial 28S ribosomal RNA
Source: RNAcentral